AGAGUUUGAUCCUGGCUCAGAAUGAACGCUGGCGGCGUGCUUAACACAUGCAAGUCGUACGAGAAAUCUUUAGCUUGCUAAAGAUAGUAAAGUGGCGCACGGGUGAGUAACGCGUGGGUAAUCUACCUUCGAAUCGGGGAUAACUCCGCGAAAGCGGGGCUAAUACCGGAUAAUAUUCUUAAGACUUAGGUCUUUUGAAUCAAAGGUGGUCUCUACAUGUAAACUACUGUUUGAAGAUGAGCUCGCGUACCAUUAGCUUGUUGGUAGGGUAAUGGCCUACCAAGGCUACNAUGGUUAGCUGGUCUGAGAGGAUGAUCAGCCACACUGGAACUGACACACGGUCCA
RNAcentral lists this ribosomal RNA (345 nucleotides) under uncultured bacterium. RNAcentral's name for it is "bacterial SSU rRNA". It matches the Rfam family "Bacterial small subunit ribosomal RNA", at positions 8 to 333 of the family's 1533-position model. The record is from RNAcentral.